RNAcentral lists this RNase P RNA (380 nucleotides) under Bacteroidota bacterium. Its description in RNAcentral is "RNase P RNA component class A". It matches the Rfam family "Bacterial RNase P class A". From Rfam's summary of the family: Ribonuclease P (RNase P) is a ubiquitous endoribonuclease, found in archaea, bacteria and eukarya as well as chloroplasts and mitochondria. Its best characterised activity is the generation of mature 5'-ends of tRNAs by cleaving the 5'-leader elements of precursor-tRNAs. The record is from RNAcentral. Lineage: Bacteria; Pseudomonadati; Bacteroidota.
AAAGAGUAUCAUUCUAUCGCUACAAAACAAGUUCUUUGGAGAGGAAAGUCCGGGCAACACAGAGCAGCAUACUGCCUAACGGACAGGCAUAGGCUUGAUGGUUGAAAAACAACCAAAAAGUUUAUGACAGAAAGUGCAACAGAAAAUAACCGCCGUAAUCUUUUUUUGCGGUAAGGGUGAAAAAUCGGGGUAAGAGCCCGUAGGAAAGGUUAGUGAUAAUCUUUUUGUGCAAACCUUAUGCGUUGAAAGUCCAAAUAUAUCAACAUUAUAAUGCUUGCUCGGCAUUGUUGAGGGGUAGGACGAUAGAGUCUUUUUGCAAAAAAAGACCCAGAUUAAUGAUAGAACUUAGACAGAACCCGGCUUAUAGAUACUCUUUUCUU